This 253-nucleotide ribosomal RNA is filed under the name uncultured bacterium. Its description in RNAcentral is "partial 16S ribosomal RNA". It matches the Rfam family "Bacterial small subunit ribosomal RNA", at positions 524 to 776 of the family's 1533-position model. The record is from RNAcentral.
UACGGAGGGUGCAAGCGUUAAUCGGAAUUACUGGGCGUAAAGCGCGCGUAGGCGGUUGGGUAAGUCAGAUGUGAAAGCCCCGGGCUUAACCUGGGAACUGCAUUUGAUACUGUCUGACUCGAGUAUGGUAGAGGGGGGUGGAAUUCCCGGAGUAGCGGUGAAAUGCGUAGAGAUCGGGAGGAACACCAGUGGCGAAGGCGGCCCCCUGGACCAAUACUGACGCUGAGGUGCGAAAGCGUGGGGAGCAAACAGG